This 1305-nucleotide ribosomal RNA is filed under the name Triticum aestivum (bread wheat). RNAcentral's name for it is "partial small subunit ribosomal RNA". Lineage: Eukaryota; Viridiplantae; Streptophyta; Magnoliopsida; Poales; Poaceae. The record is from RNAcentral.
AUGGCUUUGGAAGAAAUCGCUACUACAAGUGGCAUGAUAAAACUUGAUUUUUCCAAUUACUCAUUAUGGAAGCCCAUGAUGGAAGACAUCCUUUAUUGCAAGGAUUUGUAUGAGCCAAUUGUGAAAGACAAGAUACCCACAGGUGUCACGGAAGAAGAAUGGAGAGUGUUGCACAGAAAUGCAGUAGGUAUGAUUCGGUUGUACAUCAACCACAAUAUUUUCCACCAUGUUGCAAAUGACACAAAUGCUUUUGAGAUGUGGCAGAAGUUGGAGUCUAUGUAUGAGAGGAAGACAUCAAUGAACAAAGCCUCGGUGAUCAAAAGACUUGCAAAGCUUGAGUACCGAGAUGGCACAAGUGUGAUUGAGCACUUAAAUGUCUUCCAAUGCCAUAUAAAUCAACUUUCAGCCAUGAAGAUCAACUUUGAGGAUGAGGUGCAAGCAUUGUUGUUGCUGAGUUCCAUGCCUGAUAGUUGGAACACGCUUGUUGUGUCACUUAGCAAUUCAGCUCCGGAUGGGAAGCUGACUUUGGAGAUGGUGAAGAACAGUAUGCUGAAUGAAGAAGCCAGAAAGAAGGAAAAGGGUGAUGCCUCUUCUUUGGAUGCGUAUGUGGCUGAAACCCAUGGAAAGAAUGAGAACUGUGGACGCAACAAUACAAGAUUUCAGCAAGGCAAAAGCAAAUCCAGGGGGAGAUCAAAGUCAAAACAGAGAAAAGAUAUUACUUGCUUUCAUUGUGGCAAUCCGGGACACAUAAAGAGCGAGUGCAGGAAGUACAAAAGAGAGCUUGCAGAGGGGAAACUCACAAAGAAAACCGAGCAAAAGGCUGAGAGCAGUUCAGCCAUGACCGCAACAGAUGAGGACUAUCUAGUCAUUGAAGAUGAAGAUUGCUAUAGUGUUGUUCGUGAUGAUGCCAUGAGUUGGGUUGUGGAUUCAGGUGCGUCCUUCCACAUCACAUCACACAAGGAGUAUUUCACAUCUUACACUAGUGGUGUUGCUGGCCAAGUGAGGAUGGGAAAUAGUGGUUUGUUAGCAAUUGUUGGCAAGGGCUCUAUAUGCAUUGAAACAAACACAGGUUGCAGAUUGGUGCGCGAUGAUGUGAGACAUGUUCCCAACAUAAGGCUGAAUUUGUUGUUAGUGGGCAAGCUUGAUGAUAUCAAACAUCCUAGUUAUUUUGGUGAAGGAAAGUGGAAGCUCACCAAAGGCUCUAUGAUUGUGGCUCGAGGAAGUAAGCAAGGUAAUCUCUAUGUGACUAAAACCAAGUUGUGCAAUGAGGUGUUGAACAUUGUUGAAAAAGACACUUCGGUUUAA